Long non-coding RNA from Homo sapiens (human), 956 nucleotides. Ensembl annotates it as APOA1 antisense RNA. Its record names the gene APOA1-AS. NCBI's taxonomy places the organism in Eukaryota, Metazoa, Chordata, Mammalia, Primates, Hominidae. The record is from Ensembl.
UCUGCGCGCAGCGGCUCCACCUUCUGGCGGUAGAGCUCCAUCUCCUCCUGCCACUUCUUCUGGAAGUCGUCCAGGGUGGCAGGCAGGGAGAUUACGGACAGCAUGGGGCAUGUGAAAUCCUGACACUUCUACAAAUUGGGAAGAAACCUUUGGCAUGCUGCCUGCUUAGUGCUCUCACAGUGCCUGGCCUCAUACUGGCUGGUGGCAAAUCGCCAUCAAGGAAAUAGAUCCAAAUGGCAAACCUUCUUCAUCCACCAGGACCCAACCCACAGGCUACUUAUUGCUGGAAACCUACGUUGUUCCUUGGAUUGAAGUAAUCUCUCCCUCCUCUGGUGCGCCCACAGCACUUGCACCAACAGUGGGUACUCAACAGACUAGCGUGCCUGCCGAAGAAGGGGUCCUCUGACAAUCAGGGGACAAUGGGGAAUUAUGCUCUCCAGACUUUCUACACACACAAGUCACACAGGAAGGAAGGUAAAGAGAAACUAGAGAAAAUAAUUUUUGAAGAAAAACAUUUCAGGAAGUAUUGAAAGUACACGGUAACUCAGCCUGGGGCAGGGGUGGAGGGCAGCAGCACUGUUUGCUGCAGCUAUGCUCCUUCCUCAGUGCCCUGCACACCCGGGACUUGCUCGGUGAGCAUCUCUCGUGUCAGUGACAGCUAGUGUGAGUACUCUUAUGUUCAGCUGCCCCUGACUACCUCUUGACUUUGGGGACAAGUUACUUAAUCUCUGUGCCUCCGCUGUUUCACUGGUAAAUGGGAAUAAGAGUUGGUUAUUCUAGGGUUGUAGGGUUGUUGUAAGGAUUAAAUGAAUCCGUAUGUGAACAGCAUUUGGUGCCUGGCACAUGUGAGCUCAGCCGGGCGCGGUGGCUCAUGCCUGUAAUCCCAGCACUUUGGGAGGCCAAGGCGUGCGGAUCACGAGGUCAGGAGAUCGAGACCAUCCUGGCUAACACGGUGA